This 496-nucleotide ribosomal RNA is filed under the name uncultured bacterium. RNAcentral's name for it is "partial 16S ribosomal RNA". It matches the Rfam family "Bacterial small subunit ribosomal RNA", at positions 28 to 506 of the family's 1533-position model. The record is from RNAcentral.
GAUGAACGCUGGCGGCGUGCCUAAUACAUGCAAGUCGAGCGAACGGACGAGAAGCUUGCUUCUCUGAUGUUAGCGGCGGACGGGUGAGUAACACGUGGAUAACCUACCUAUAAGACUGGGAUAACUUCGGGAAACCGGAGCUAAUACCGGAUGAUAUUUUGAACCGCAUGGUUCAAAAGUGAAAGACGGUCUUGCUGUCACUUAUAGAUGGAUCCGCGCUGCAUUAGCUAGUUGGUAAGGUAACGGCUUACCAAGGCAACGAUGCAUAGCCGACCUGAGAGGGGGAUCGGCCACACUGGAACUGGGACACGGUCCAGACUCCUACGGGAGGCAGCAGUAGGGAAUCUUCCGCAAUGGGCGAAAGCCUGACGGAGCAACGCCGCGUGAGUGAUGAAGGUCUUCGGAUCGUAAAACUCUGUUAUUAGGGAAGAACAUAUGUGUAAGUAACUGUGCACAUCUUGACGGUACCUAAUCAGAAAGCCACGGCUAACUACGU